Long non-coding RNA from Oreochromis aureus, 1174 nucleotides. NCBI's taxonomy places the organism in Eukaryota, Metazoa, Chordata, Actinopteri, Cichliformes, Cichlidae. The record is from Ensembl.
GUGAAAGUCUGUCCAGCAUGAAUCACAUGAUACACGUGUCGGUUUUUUCAAUGUUAAUUCCUAUUUUUGAAGCGUCAAACAAACAGUAUAUAAGCACUGAUCUUACUGCUGUUUAGCACCUUCUCACUGGACGGCUGAAGCUAUCGAGAUAUUAAAGAUCACCAUGAGGCUGCUGACCGUGUUUGUGUUUCUUUGUGUAAUGGUCCCUCUGAUCAUUACUGCUCAAAAAUCGGGCAGCAGUGGGGCAGAGAAUAAUCCACAAGAAGAGCAAGCUGUUGACAAGAGGAUCCUGUGGUAUUGGCGCAAAACUUAUCGUUGCGUUAGAUGGCGAUGGGUAUGGAGAAAGCGAUGGGGGAAAGACGUGAACGAAUAAUAUAUAUACGCUCACCACUGAUACCGAUUUUGUCUGGGUCUGAAAAAGAAGAUGAUUCCUGGUCUUUCAUGAAAAUGGUCCAUCAGACAGAGAAGCAAAUACUUUCAUCCAACUCCCUGAACUAUCAGUUUCCCCUUUUACAUCUUUACUUAUUUUCUUUUGCUGUAUUGCUGCAUAAAGAAUGAAGCAACAAGUGACACAAACUGGAGUCGACCGGACUGUCUCUUUUAAUAACAAAAACUAUUCAUUUCUGUUCUUAUUAUCUUCAUCAUUAAACUCUUAAGCAUUAAAUGAAAUUGGUCUCUGAGUCUGUCACAUGUCACCUUUUUAUUGGUCUAAACCCAAACACCAAAUUUGUUUUUCAUCUAUCUUCGUUUUAAAAUACCUAAAUAGAAAAUAACAAGUCUGACCUGCUAAUAUCUGACUGAGCUCAAAGCAUUUACUAAGAUCCUAAACAAUAACCUGAAUAAAGUAUUAAUAUUAAGUUGGUCUAAUGAUAAUUUCCAGAAUUGAUCUCAGCUACUGUUUGAUAUGCGAGUAAACAAAGCAGAUGAUAAAAGAAAAAGGACUCAUAAAAUACCUUUUCAAAAGGACACAUUUUAUUUUUGUCUUCAUUGAUACAAAUACAUUGUUGUCAUAUUUGACAACAAUAAGGAGAACAGUGGUUUUCCUCCCAACUUUUGACCAAUCAACUUAGUUUCCUGUUUAUCACACAUAAUAAAAAGCAUUUACUGCUGAGGCACAGCAGCCUUUGUCUCUGAGCCAGAGAGAAAGAGCUCCAUGGAGUUGUGUAAAAUAAUC